AGGGUGCAGGGCGGAUGCCUUGGCACUAGGAGCCGAUGAAGGACGUGAUAAGCUGCGAUAAGCUUCGGGGAGUUGCACGUAAACUUUGAUCCGAAGAUUUCCGAAUGAGGAAACUCACUUAGAGUAAUGUCUAAGUAUCAUUAAGUGAAUACAUAGCUUAAUGAGGGGAACUCAGGGAACUGAAACAUCUAAGUACCUGAAGGAAGAGAAAGAAAUUCGAUUCCGUAAGUAGCGGCGAGCGAACGCGGAUUAGCCCAAACCAAUAAAGUUUUCUUUAUUGGGGUUGCGGACAUAUCAUAACGAAGAGGUAUCGUAAUUGAAGAGGUUUGGAAAGACCCACCACAGAAGGUAAUAGUCCUGUAUGUUAAACGAGAAGACUUUAGAUAUGAUCCAGAGUACCACGGGACACGUGAAACCCUGUGGGAAGCAGGAGGGACCACCCUCCAAGGCUAAAUACUACCUAGUGACCGAUAGCGUAUAGUACCGUGAGGGAAAGGUGAAAAGAACCCCGGGAGGGGAGUGAAAUAGAACCUGAAACCCUGCACUUACAAGCUGUGGAAGCACAUUUCUUGUGUGACCGCGUACUUUUUGUAGAACGGGCCAACGAGUUACGUUAAGUAGCAAGGUUAAGCACUUAAGGUGCGGAGCCGUAGCGAAAGCGAGUUUUAACUGAGCGUUCAGUUACUUGACGUAGACCCGAAACCGGGCGACCUACCCAUGAGCAGGAUGAAGCGAAAGUAAAAUUUCGUGGAGGUCCGAACCCACGAGCGUUGAAAAGCUCGGGGAUGACUUGUGGGUAGCGGUGAAAUUCCAAUCGAGCCCGGAGAUAGCUGGUUCUCCCCGAAAUAGCUUUAGGGCUAGCCUCAAGGUGAGAGAUACGGAGGUAGAGCACUGAAUGUCCUAGGGGGUAUUGCACCUACCGAAGACUAUCAAACUCCGAAUGCCGUCAUCUUAUACUUGGGAGUCAGACUGUGGGUGAUAAGAUUCAUAGUCGAAAGGGCAACAGCCCAGAUCGUCAGCUAAGGUCCCUAAAUGUAAGUUAAGUGGUAAAGGAUGUGGGAUUGCACAGACAACCAGGAUGUUGGCUUAGAAGCAGCCACUCAUUCAAAGAGUGCGUAAUAGCUCACUGGUCGAGUGAUCCUGCGCCGAAGAUUUCCGGGGCUAAAACUUACUACCGAAGCUACGGCAUCAGUAAUGAUGGGUAGGGGAGCUUCCCAUACGGGUUGAAGCAUGACCGUAAGGACAUGUGGACAGUAUGGGAGUGAGAAUGUUGGCAUGAGUAGCGAGAUGUGGGUGAGAAUCCCACAGGCCGUAAACCCAAGGUUUCCAGGGGAAGGUUCGUCCGCCCUGGGUUAGUCGGGACCUAAGCUGAGGCCGAAAGGCGUAGGUGAUGGACAACAGGUUGAUAUUCCUGUACUACCGAUAACCGUUUGAGAGAAGGGAUGACACAGUAGGAUAAGCUAAGCACACUGUUGGUUAUGUGUGCCCAAGCAUUGAGGCAGUCAAAGUAGGCAAAUCCGCUUUGAUAAUGCUGGGAUGUGAUGGGGAGCGAAAUUUAGUAGCGAAGUAGCUGAUUUCACACUGUCAAGAAAAGUCUCUAUCGAGGUUAAAGGUACCCGUACCGCAAACCGACACAGGUGGGUGAGGAGAGUAUCCUAAGGCCAGCGAGAGAACUGUUGUUAAGGAACUCGGCAAAAUGACCCCGUAACUUAGGGAUAAGGGGUGCCACCAUCAGGUGGCCGCAGAGAAUAGGCCCAAGCGACUGUUUACCAAAAACAUAGGUUUCUGCUAAGUCGCAAGACGAUGUAUAGGAGCUGACGCCUGCCCGGUGCUGGAAGGUUAAGGGGAUCUGUUAGAGCAAUCGAAGCAGUGAACUUAAGCCCCAGUAAACGGCGGCCGUAACUAUAACGGUCCUAAGGUAGCGAAAUUCCUUGUCGGGUAAGUUCCGACCCGCACGAAAGGCGUAACGAUUUGGGCACUGUCUCAACAACAGACUCGGUGAAAUUGUAAUUCCGGUGAAGAUGCCGGAUACCUGCGACAGGACGGAAAGACCCCAUGGAGCUUUACUGUAGCUUGACAUUGGGUCUUGGUACUACAUGUACAGGAUAGGUGGGAGGCUUUGAAACCAGGACGCCAGUUUUGGCGGAGCCAUCCUUGGGAUACCACCCUUGUAGUACCUGUCUCUUAUACACAUCUCCGAGCCCACGAGACCGUACUAGAUCUC
RNAcentral lists this ribosomal RNA (2224 nucleotides) under Clostridioides difficile. RNAcentral's name for it is "bacterial LSU rRNA". It matches the Rfam family "Bacterial large subunit ribosomal RNA", at positions 14 to 2258 of the family's 2925-position model. Lineage: Bacteria; Bacillati; Bacillota; Clostridia; Peptostreptococcales; Peptostreptococcaceae. The record is from RNAcentral.